This 200-nucleotide ribosomal RNA is filed under the name uncultured eukaryote. RNAcentral describes it as "partial 18S ribosomal RNA". It matches the Rfam family "Eukaryotic small subunit ribosomal RNA", at positions 588 to 918 of the family's 1831-position model. The record is from RNAcentral.
GCUCCAAUAGCGUAUAUUAAAGUUGUUGCGGUUAAAAAGCUCGUAGUUGGAUUUCUGCCGAGGACGACCGGUCCGCCACUGGGUGUGCAUCUGGCUCGGCCUGGGCAUCUUCCUUGGUUCUAUUGUUGGUUUCUAGAACUGAGGUAAUGAUUAAUAGGGAUAGUUGGGGGCAUUCGUAUUUAACUGUCAGAGGUGAAAUU